RNAcentral lists this ribosomal RNA (546 nucleotides) under Tephritis sp. n. 1 SVK-2019. Its description in RNAcentral is "partial large subunit ribosomal RNA". The stretch from base 400 to 546 matches the Rfam family "Bacterial large subunit ribosomal RNA", at positions 2473 to 2620 of the family's 2925-position model. The record is from RNAcentral. Lineage: Eukaryota; Metazoa; Arthropoda; Insecta; Diptera; Tephritidae.
CAAAAACAUGUUUUUUUGAGUUAUUUUUAAAGUUUAACCUGCCCAAUGAAAAUUUUUUUAAUGGCCGCAGUAAUUUGACUGUGCAAAGGUAGCAUAAUAAUUAGUCUUUUAAUUGAAGGCUUGUAUGAAUGGUUGGACGAAGUAUAAUCUGUUUCAUUUAAAUUUAUUAUAGAAUUUUAUAUUUUAGUAAAAAAGCUAAAAUUUUUUUAAAAGACGAGAAGACCCUAUAAAUCUUUAUAAUUUAUAUAUAUUUUUUUUUUUUUGAUUUAUUUUAUUUUAAUAAUUUAGAUUAUUUUAUUGGGGUGAUAUUAAAAUUUAAAUAACUUUUAAUUUUUUUUAAACAUUAAUUUAUGAUUUAUUGAUCCAUUAAUAAUGAUUAAAAGAAUAAGUUACUUUAGGGAUAACAGCGUAAUUUUUUUGGAGAGUUCUUAUUGAUAAAAAAGUUUGCGACCUCGAUGUUGGAUUAAGAGAUAAUUUUAGGUGUAGUUGCUAAAUAANAAGUCUGUUCGACUUUUAAAUUCUUACAUGAUCUGAGUUCAANCCGGA